GACGAACGCUGGCGGCGUGCUUAACACAUGCAAGUCGAACGGAAAGGCCCUGCUUUUGUGGGGUGCUCGAGUGGCGAACGGGUGAGUAACACGUGAGUAACCUGCCCUUGACUUUGGGAUAACUUCAGGAAACUGGGGCUAAUACCGGAUAGGAGCUCCUGCUGCAUGGUGGGGGUUGGAAAGUUUCGGCGGUCGGGGAUGGACUCGCGGCUUAUCAGCUUGUUGGUGGGGUAGUGGCUUACCAAGGCUUUGACGGGUAGCCGGCCUGAGAGGGUGACCGGCCACAUUGGGACUGAGGUACGGCCCAGACUCCUACGGGGGGCAGCAGUGGGGAAUAUUGCCCAAUGGGCGGAAGCCUGAUGCAGCAACGCCGCGUGCGGGAUGACGGCCUUCGGGUUGUAAACCGCUUUCGCCUGUGACGAAGCGUGAGUGACGGUAAUGGGUAAAGAAGCACCGGCUAACUACGUG
This 468-nucleotide ribosomal RNA is filed under the name uncultured bacterium. RNAcentral's name for it is "partial 16S ribosomal RNA". It matches the Rfam family "Bacterial small subunit ribosomal RNA", at positions 28 to 507 of the family's 1533-position model. The record is from RNAcentral.